This 292-nucleotide ribosomal RNA is filed under the name uncultured bacterium. RNAcentral describes it as "partial 16S ribosomal RNA". It matches the Rfam family "Bacterial small subunit ribosomal RNA", at positions 505 to 796 of the family's 1533-position model. The record is from RNAcentral.
GUGCCAGCCGCCGCGGUAAGACGGAGGGUGCAAGCGUUGUUCGGAAUCAUUGGGCGUACAGGGUGCGCAGGCGGCCUGGCAUGUCCGAUGUGAAAGCCCGGGGCUCAACCCCGGAAUCGCAUUGGAAACUGUCAGGCUUGAGUCCGAGAGGGGCCAGUGGAAUUCCUGGUGUAGGGGUGAAAUCCGUAGAGAUCAGGAGGAACACCGGCGGCGAAAGCGACUGGCUGGAUCGGGACUGACGCUGAGGCACGAAAGCGUGGGCAGCGAACAGGAUUAGAUACCCGAGUAGUCC